RNAcentral lists this ribosomal RNA (583 nucleotides) under uncultured bacterium. RNAcentral's name for it is "partial 16S ribosomal RNA". It matches the Rfam family "Bacterial small subunit ribosomal RNA", at positions 355 to 1375 of the family's 1533-position model. The record is from RNAcentral.
UGGGGAAUUUUGGACAAUGGGCGAAAGCCUGAUCCAGCAAUGCCGCGUGUGUGAAGAAGGCCUUCGGGUUGUAAAGCACUUUUGUCCGGAAAGAAAUCCUUGGCUCUAAUACAGUCGGGGGAUGACGGUACCGGAAGAAUAAGCACCGGCUAACUACGUGCCAGCAGCCGCGGUAAUACGUAGGGUGCAAGCGUUAAUCGGAAUUACUGGGCGUAAAGCGUGCGCAGGCGGUUUGCUAAGACCGAUGUGAAAUCCCCGGGCUCAACCUGGGAACUGCAUUGGUGACUGGCAGGCUAGAGUAUGGCAGAGGGGGGUAGAAUUCCACGUGUAGCAGUGAAAUGCGUAGAGAUGUGGAGGAAUACCGAUGGCGAAGGCAGCCCCCUGGGCCAAUACUGACGCUCAUGCACGAAAGCGUGGGGAGCAAACAGGAUUAGAUACCCUGGUAGUCCACGCCCUAAACGAUGUCACUAGUUGUUGGGGAUUCAUUUCCUAGUAACGUAGCUAACGCGUGAAGUUGACCGCCUGGGGAGUACGGUCGCAAGAUUAAAACUCAAAGGAAUUGACGGGGUCAUAGCUGUUUCCU